Non-coding RNA from Zonotrichia albicollis (white-throated sparrow), 1212 nucleotides. Lineage: Eukaryota; Metazoa; Chordata; Aves; Passeriformes; Passerellidae. The record is from RefSeq and is a predicted model, not a curated record.
ACAAAGAAAGCCUUUGAUUUUUGUAAAGGGAGAGAUGCUUUGGUCAUGCUCUUCUGCAUAUCUCUCUUGAGAGGGUUUUAUAGAUGUUUUCUUCCAUUACACCAAAGGUAUACUGAUCCACUUAAUUUACAGUGCCAAAAAUGAUGAUUCUUCUCUUUACCAUUCCUGAAUGUCCUCAAAGGACGCAGACAUGAAGAGGGAACUUUUUUGAACAUUCCUGCCAUGCAAUGACCAGGUAACCUGGCCCCAUCUCAAGCAGAGACCUGCCUGUAUUCCUGAGACCUUGAUGAUGUUGUGCUAAGCUGUGUGUGUCUGGUACAGAACCUCUGGUGCUCAGAGACUGUGUGCUUAUUUUGCAGCCACUUGGCUACCAUGCAGGAGCUACAGGAGAUGCAUUGGAGAAUUACCAUUAUUUUCAUUUCAUAUUUGGAGAAUCACAAAUUAUUUUCAUUUCAUUUUCCUGUCUGCAGUCACAGGGUAAAAGAGCUCUGUAAAGAAGAGAGCACAGGGAACAGAAGAGUUGGGAAGAAAAGAGAAGAUACAAGUUCCUGUGCUGAAAGACCUAAUUAUGCUGGACCAAGCACAAAAUCUAUUAUGGGGUUAUUAAUUGCUUGCACCAUUUAUGUACUCACACAUUUCACCUGCUCUUUCCUGUGGGAGUCAAACACCAGUAAUGUUUUCCAUCCCGAACUGGAUGUGAUGCCAAACUACCAGGAAUUUGCAAGGAGCAAGACUGAGCUGUGUUAAGCCAAUGACUUAAAAAGAAAAAAGCCACACAGGAAAACCAGAUUAUGAGAUUUGCCACCAUUCGAUUUAAAAGUCAUCCUUUCCUGUUGUUCCUUGAGCACUGGGCUUUCCAAGUUCACCAUUCUUUCCUGGGACAAGUGACUCAUGAACCUGAUAGGAAAAUGCACCUGUUUUUAGCCAGAGGUUAAAGCAGCUCUCCAGUUACCAGAGUAAACAAAGGAUUUAUUUCUGUCCUUAGCAGUUACCCUGCAAAGCCCAGGAAUACAGGAAGGCUGGCAGAAGCCACUAGGUUUGAGCCAAGUUUGCUGAAGUCAGUGGAAGGUUUGUGAUGUCCAUAGUAAGAUGCUCCUAGAUGCCAGUGGGAUUUGGCCCAUGUCUUUUGCUAGAGGGGAAAUGGAAAAAUAAAGAGUUGGUGCAGUGAUUGUGCUGGCAGCCAAGGACUCCAGGGAGCUGGAAGGUGUCUGC